CUAAACGGUGCCCAGGGGAUCAAUUGUCUGGAGUACUAGCUAGCAUCUAAGUUCCAGUUCCCCUAGUGUCCGACUGACAGGAAGGUAGUGUAAACAAGGUUAGGGAGAGAGAAGAGGCACAGGGUCCCCAGAGAACAAGGGACCGGGUAAUCAGGUCUAAACGCAGAUGAAAAGCCUCACACAAAAAAAAUAAUAAUUUAAAUAAAUCUCUCAAUUCACCC
Pelobates cultripes (western spadefoot toad) is the source of this 221-nucleotide non-coding RNA. Lineage: Eukaryota; Metazoa; Chordata; Amphibia; Anura; Pelobatidae. The record is from the annotation of a GenBank genome assembly.